This 372-nucleotide ribosomal RNA is filed under the name uncultured organism. Its description in RNAcentral is "partial 16S ribosomal RNA". It matches the Rfam family "Bacterial small subunit ribosomal RNA", at positions 527 to 896 of the family's 1533-position model. The record is from RNAcentral.
GUAGGUGGCAAGCGUUGUCCGGAAUUAUUGGGCGUAAAACGCGCGCAGGCGGUUCUUUAAGUCUGAUGUGAAAGCCCACGGGCUCAACCGUGGAGGGUCAUUGGAAACUGGAGAACUUGAGUACAGAAGAGGAAAGCGGAAUUCCACGUGUAGCGGUGAAAUGCGUAGAGAUGUGGAGGAACACCAGUGGCGAAGGCGGCUUUCUGGUCUGUAACUGACGCUGAGGCGCGAAAGCGUGGGGAGCAAACAGGAUUAGAUACCCUGGUAGUCCACGCCGUAAACGAUGAGUGCUAAGUGUUAGGGGGUUUCCGCCCCUUAGUGCUGCAGCUAACGCAUUAAGCACUCCGCCUGGGGAGUACGGCCGCAAGGCUG